UAAGAAAUGAAUCCAAUAAGAGGAUGUGCAGCUUGCAAUUAUCUUAGAAGAAGAUGCCCUCAAAAUUGUAUUUUCUGACCUAUCUUCCUCCUAGCUAGUAUGAUAUCCCCCAAAAGUUUAAACAUAUGGAGCUACUAAUGUUACCAAGAUUAUUCAGCAACUCCCACAAGGUAAGAGUAGCAGCAGCGGAUUCUCUCUAGCUCCUUUGAAGCACAGAGUCGAAGAUACUAUUUAUGGUUGUCUUGGGACUAUCUCUUUACUAUUUGUAGCUGUUAUCUUUCUAUCAGAAUCUCCUGUUUGGUCGUAUGUUUAUAUCAGUUUUUGUUUGAUUUAGUUGUUGUUUUUUGUUA
Molecule: RNA transcript, 350 nt
Organism: Arabidopsis thaliana (thale cress)
Lineage: Eukaryota; Viridiplantae; Streptophyta; Magnoliopsida; Brassicales; Brassicaceae
Exons: 2
Source: RefSeq